AUGGUUGGUUCUUCCUCUACUCCAGACCCAUGGCUGAACCCCUUCCCCACCGGCAAGGGCUGGGUUGCCAUGCUUUUUGGGUCGGCUCGCGGCGAUGAAGACCUCUUCCUCGACUACAUGAAGAUUGCCAUGAGAUAUAGCAGCGCAGAAGGGCUCGUGGAUGCAUUAGAAGAGGUGAGGAAGAAGGCGACGACUGAGGAGAAGCAGCGCAUGGACCAGCGCUAUGCAACCCCAGGUAAGGGUAUCAUGCCCAUCGACAUGUUGCUGUGGGCAAUGAAGGAGGCAGACUCCAGCGAUGCUGGGCAGAGGGAACGGUGGGCAGCCCACCGCUAUAUCCCUCCAGCACAAGCUACAGCUCCAACUACUAUGGGCAACGACGACGAGGACCUGCAGAUCAUCGCCCCACCAGCACUGCUGGCUCGCCGACGUCCUCCUCCCAUCAUCGUCAUCGAUGGAGAUGAAGAGGAGGUGCCAAAGCUGCCACCUACCACUCAAGUCAAGCAAGAGGUGCGACGGUCAGGUCGCAUAGCAGGGCAGGGGCCUAACAAUCUGAAACUGUAA
RNAcentral lists this ribosomal RNA (561 nucleotides) under Triticum aestivum (bread wheat). Its description in RNAcentral is "partial small subunit ribosomal RNA". The record is from RNAcentral. Lineage: Eukaryota; Viridiplantae; Streptophyta; Magnoliopsida; Poales; Poaceae.